Molecule: long non-coding RNA, 1218 nt
Organism: Arachis stenosperma
Lineage: Eukaryota; Viridiplantae; Streptophyta; Magnoliopsida; Fabales; Fabaceae
Exons: 3
Source: RefSeq, a predicted model, not a curated record
UUUCCCCAGCCGCCCCACACACAAACACUCAGACCCUAAACCAUACACACACGAAACGGAAAGAAGGAGAAGGAAGGAGAGGGGGAAAAGGGGAGACGGCGGCGGUGGAUGUCACUGCCACCGUCGCCGCCGUCUUAUCGCUGUCGGGAGAGUAAUAACGUGAGGGGAGAGAGAGACGAGCUCGCGAGGGAGUAGCGUCGCCGCCACUGGAGGGGAGCCUGGCUGUCCUCGUCACUGCCAGCUCCGUCGCCGUCGUCACCAUUGGAGCUGCGCGAAGCCGUCGUCGCCGUUGUCACCAUCGAUGCUUCUCGUUGUCGUUUGUGGGUUGUCGCCUCUUCUGCUUCUGCUGUCACGCUGUCGUCUGCCCCUCUGGACAUCGCUGCUUUUGAAUCGUGUCCUGUCACUCGGAUAUGCUGCAAGAAGCUAUCAGAAAGUGGCAUUGAUGAGAAGAAGCACAAACCCUCCACCAGCAAUACCGCUGCCUCUAAAUCCAAGGACGGAAUGGAAGAUUACAAUUUUGCUAUGAAGAGGAUGAUGAGGAAUCCUUAUGAGUAUCACCACGAUCUGGGUUUGAAUUACACACUUAUAACUGACAAUCUCAUUGUGGGAUCCCAACCACAGAAACCUGAAGACAUCGAUCACCUCAAGAAGGAAGAGGGGGUGACAUACAUUCUGAAUUUGCAGCAAGAUAAGGAUGUAGAAUAUUGGGGAAGCCUGCAUUUCAGUCAAUUUUGUUGAGAAAAUAGACUCCCACUCUGAAUUUUAUGAAAAUCAAGAGUGGUUCCUCCACUGAGUUUCUCAAUCAUUUGCAAAAUUGCCCUGCUUGGGGUCAUAGGAUGUUCAUCACAGAUGCUGGGCUAUGCUGGAAUUAGUUACAGUAAUCCCACUUUCCUCAGCUAUCAGUAACCUCAUUCCUGCUUUCACCGUCAUACUUGUUAUCAUUUGCAGGUUCCUUUCUCUUUCUCAAUUUAUGGAUUUAUUUGACAAAAUUCUAACCUGUACAAUCAUCAUUUGCUGCUCAAAGGUGUUUCAAAGAAGAAGAAAAAUGAAAACAAAAAUGCUCAGAAGAUAAUAAAAAUCAGUCCAAGUCAAAUCAAAGUUAUCUUGUUUUGUAUUUAUUAAUUACAGUUGGAAUAAAUGAUCAAUAUUACAUAUAUAAGUGAUGUAAUUAAUAAUUUCUUUCUGAAUCACUAUCUUAGUAUCUUACCCUAUUAUCCA